GACGACCGCUGGCGGCGUGCCUAAUACAUGCAAGUAGGACGCAGUUGCGAACGGGUGCGUAAUGCGUAGGUAACUACCUAUUAGAGGGGGAUAACUAUUGGAAACGAUAGCUAAUACCGCAUACUAGUAGAUGGACCUGCGUUGUAUUAGCUAGUAGGUAGGGUAAUGGCCUACCUAGGCAACGAUACAUAGCCGACCUGAGAGGGUGGUCGGCCACACUGGGGCUGAGAAACGGCCCAGAAUCCUACGGGGGGGAGAAGUAGGGAAACUUCGGGAAUGGGGGGAACCCUGAACGAGCAACGCCCGCUGAGUGAAGAAGGUUUUCGGAUCGUAAAGCUCUGUUGUUAAGGAAGCGGUACUUAACCAGAAAGGGACGGCUAACUACGUGCCAGCCGCCGCGGUAAUUC
RNAcentral lists this ribosomal RNA (407 nucleotides) under uncultured bacterium. RNAcentral's name for it is "partial 16S ribosomal RNA". It matches the Rfam family "Bacterial small subunit ribosomal RNA", at positions 28 to 526 of the family's 1533-position model. The record is from RNAcentral.